GACGAACGCUGGCGGCGUGCCUAAUACAUGCAAGUCGAGCGGACGAAUCGAAAGCUUGCUUUUGAUUCGUUAGCGGCGGACGGGUGAGUAACACGUGGGCAACCUGCCCUGUAGACGGGGAUAACACCGAGAAAUCGGUGCUAAUACCGGAUAACACGAAAUGUCGCAUGACGUUUCGUUGAAAGACGGCGCAAGCUGCCGCUACAGGAUGGGCCCGCGGCGCAUUAGCUAGUUGGUGAGGUAACGGCUCACCAAGGCGACGAUACGUAGCCAACCUGAGAGGGUGAUCGGCCACACUGGGACUGAGACACGGCCCAGACUCCUACGGGAGGCAGCAGUAGGGAAUCUUCCGCAAUGGACGAAAGUCUGACGGAGCAACGCCGCGUGAGCGAAGAAGGCCUUCGGGUCGUAAAGCUCUGUUGUUAGGGAAGAACAAGUAACGCAGUAACUGGCGUUACCGUGACGGUACCUAACGAGAAAGCCACGGCUAACUACGUG
RNAcentral lists this ribosomal RNA (498 nucleotides) under uncultured bacterium. RNAcentral's name for it is "partial 16S ribosomal RNA". It matches the Rfam family "Bacterial small subunit ribosomal RNA", at positions 28 to 507 of the family's 1533-position model. The record is from RNAcentral.